AUCUUGAAUGCAACCCUCGCUAGCAAGAACAGUCUCAACAAAACAUUAACUGAUUAGGCUAAUCAAGCAUCUUACAGAAUUAGGCUUAUCAAUCAUCUUCCAAUCGUCAUCUGCACAAAUUUGUCUAUCCAAACGAAUUCUAUCAACUAGAGGAAACAAAAUCGCACAACAUAGGCACUACAUCGGCUCAAACUAAACUAAGAAGAGGUAACAAGAUCAAUGAUAAAGCUCAAUUCAAAGCCGAAUAACAAAGUAAACAUUGGUUAAUCAAAUCCUCUCAAUAAACUAACCUAUACUGACUCGGCGUGAUCACCCAAGUUCUUAUACUCCGAAUUCGCUUUCGUUCUGCUUCAUAGCCAUGCUUCUUCUACCGCGGAUUUGAGAGAAGAAGAAGAAGAGAAAUCUGUCUAUUAAUUUAUUGUUUAUUAAUUAACAGAUUAAUAGAAGAAUUUUUUUUUAAUGUUCGAUCGAUUUUUGUCUUCCUCUUCCUCUCCCUCUCUCUGUCUCUCUCUCUCGAUCGAAGUCGCGAAGAUGUUGGGGUCGGAAGAUAUUUUUGAUGCUCGAUUGAUUUUUUUUUCUUUCUCUUCCCCUCCCUCUCUCUCUCGAUUGAACUCGGAGGAGAUUGAAUUCGGAUAUUGCCCAUCUCGGCUUUUUGAUUCCGGAUGCUUUGUCUCCAAAAGAAAUUGAUCCUGCAAGAGAAGCACUGCAAAAUGGCUGAUCUUGUACUCUGCUUGGGUACCAGGCAGCCGAUGUUUUGCGGAGACGUCAGGAAGAAGAGAAAAGCUCUGUAAUUCUGGUUGCAACUAUUGGUGUAAUCUAUAGGUGGUAUAAGACAUCUUCACAUCUGCUGCAAUAUUAGCUUUGAGAGGUUUGGGUUAGAGGAACGGUUGCAGCGAAGACAGGAGAGUUCGCUGCCAGUGUCAAUGACCAUGGAUAUGUUUGAGGAGGAGUGUCGACGGUGAGAGUAACGGUGAGAGUGACGUUGUGGUGGAAAUGGAGUUUGUCGGUGGGUCGAUGAUCCGUUGGAAUUAUUCGGGUCUUUAGAGGCAAAACAAGUGUUUGAGAUGAAGAAGAAGAGAACAGGAUGAGAAGUUUUUCAGUGAUGGCUUUGACUGAUAUUUUUCACUCUAGUUCAUGUUAUUCUCCUAAGGUUUGGUUUCUAAAUUGCAUCGAUUUCUUUUUCUAUUUAUGAAUAUAUUCAUGUGAUUUACUUGUCGGUAUGUUAUUUCAUGUUUGGAUGAUGUUUUUAUCGAUGAGAGUGAUGGCUUUGAUGGAAACGCUUCUUCUCUGUGCUACGUAUUCAUGGGUUUCGUUCUUCCUCUUCACAAUUCUUUUACUCUCUUUUUUUGUUCCUUACAUUCCUUUCUUCUUCUUCUUCUUCUUCUUGCAGGUGUUUUGGAAGCAACUAUGAUCGGAUCAUUGCUUCUUCUUCUUCAGGCUAAGUUUUUAGGAUUUCUCACAGGUUCCUUGUGAUUGUGGUUUUUCAUCUACUUUCUUCUAUGUCUAUGUUAUCUCCUUGGUGGUUUUUCUCUUUUCCUUGGAGAUAUGAUCAGUUUUGCUUCCCCUUUUCUCUUUUUGUCUUGCGGAUUUUGUGAUCUGCAUUUUUUCAAUGGUUUAAAAGCUAAUCACUUCUGUUUGGGAUCAGUCAAAGCCAUCACUGAUCAAUCGUAGAUGAAAAUGAGAACAGGAUGAGAAGUUUUUUAUAUUAUUGUAAGUUUGUGUGUUUCUUGCAAAACAAAACUGAGUAUAAACAUUUAUAAACAUAUAUCUGGAAUGCAAUAAUUUCUUAUUCUACUUUAAAUUUUUUAUUUUCAAAAACAAAAAAAAAAAAAAUUCAAAUUAAGAGACUCAAAGUUAAAACUUACCAUUGGAAGGCAAAAUUUUAGUUAGGAUUCCCAAAGUUCUUAUCCUACUAAAAGUACAAAAUAUAGUAAUUAAAAAUUUUAAGAGCUCCAAAAAAUAUAACUUCCAUUGUGGUGCCCUUAUAAAAGCUCCUUACAAGUUGCUUAAGUAUUAAAACAAAUUAAAUAUAAUAGUCACAGAUUAAUUUUGCAGGAUCGAUGGUUUACAUAAGAUAUUUUGCAUUCAUUUAGAAAAUUGAGUGUGUCAAGGUGUGAUUGGCUGGCGAGAAAAAAAGAUUUUUNUUUUUUUUUUUUUUUUUUGUUAUUGCUCGUUCCCCUCGUCUCUCUCUCUCUCUCAAAGCACGGCGAAUGAAGACUACUGAAGAGUGUGUUUCAGGGGAUCAGAUCAUCCUCAACCUCCCAAAGAAUCAACUUUUAACAGGGGAAUUAGGGUUUUUAAUUUCGAAGAUGAGUGCCAAAACUUCUUCUGUCUUGAUCAGAUUGUUGUCCGUAUUUCCAUCACUUUUUCUUUUCUUUAUUGUUCGAUUUUGUUAGAAUCAAACAAUCGAUUUUUCAAUUCGUUUCAGGUUCCAGGUAAUGUUUGUUCUUGAUUUGGCAAACAUGACAAUAAAGCUCGGCAGUGGCCUCCGUCAGGUUUCAUCAAAUAUCUCUGCCAUGAGUAUAGGUGGCAAAUUAAGUUACUCCAAGCCUAAUAAGUAUUGGGUCGAAAGUUCUCAUAAACGGGUGAGCUCACUUCAUUAUGAGAUGAUGAUUCAGUCUUUGCCUUUUUGGUUUGAGCUUGUUGUGGAUUGUUUUGUCUCUGCACGGUUGGUUCUGUUUUGUUGAUUAUCUGUGUAAAGUCUCAAUUAUGUGUGGCCCAUAAUGGUAAAUUUGUAGUAAAUGGGUAUAGCAUGCUCAAGUGAGUGAAAAGGCGCUACAAAUCAUGUGUACCAUCAUGGUUUUCACAUCUUGUCUGAGUUUAAGGUUCUGUUUAUGUAAUGAGUUUGAGAUUCUGUUCUUGUUUAAGUUUGAGUCUUUCCUCAUGUCAAAAGAGUUGGAUACAGUGCAAUUCAGUUGAUUGGUAUCCCAGCGCACAAAGAUUGAUGAAGCGCAUGGCCUAGGACUUCUUGUCUUUUUGGACAUCGUGCAUUCUUAUGCAGCCGCUGAUCAGAUGAGUAUCAAGCUGAUGGUUACCAAUUUCACUCGCUUGCUUCAAUUAUUUACACGCACAAUGGUUUUGCUUCUUUUAACAACGAUUUGGACGACAGCUAUUGCAAUCAUUAUGUUGACUGAGAUACUUUGAUGUACCUCAUUUUGGCCAAUGAAAUUCUGCACGUUCUACAGCUGUUGCAAGUGUUAGUUAGUAAAAUUACUUAAGUGAAAUAUCAAUGUGUUUUUCAAAUAUGAUGUAUAUAGAUAAAAAGGUGUGUGAGAGAGUAACAUGUAAUGAGUUUAAGGUUCUGUUUGUGUAUUACAUUUUUUUUUUAAGAAUCCCAAAUUUAACAACCAUCAAUGGACUCAUGAUAUUUUAAAGUUU
Molecule: non-coding RNA, 3378 nt
Organism: Camelina sativa (false flax)
Lineage: Eukaryota; Viridiplantae; Streptophyta; Magnoliopsida; Brassicales; Brassicaceae
Source: RefSeq, a predicted model, not a curated record